RNAcentral lists this ribosomal RNA (528 nucleotides) under uncultured bacterium. Its description in RNAcentral is "bacterial SSU rRNA". It matches the Rfam family "Bacterial small subunit ribosomal RNA", at positions 17 to 518 of the family's 1533-position model. The record is from RNAcentral.
UCCUGGCUUAGGACGAACGCUGGCGGCGUGCCUAAUACAUGCAAGUCAAACGGCUUUCUAUGGAAGCUUGCUUCCACUGAGAAGAUAGUGGCGAACGGGUGAGUAACACGUGGGUAACCUGCCCAUAAGAGGGGGAUAACAUCCGGAAACGGGUGCUAAUACCGCAUAAUUUUCUUGAUCGCAUGAUUGAGAAAGGAAAGACGGCCUUUGUGCUGUCGCUUAUGGAUGGACCCGCGGCGUAUUAGUUAGUUGGUGAGGUAACGGCUCACCAAGACGAUGAUACGUAGCCGACCUGAGAGGGUGAUCGGCCACAUUGGGACUGAGACACGGCCCAAACUCCUACGGGAGGCAGCAGUAGGGAAUCUUCCGCAAUGGACGAAAGUCUGACGGAGCAACGCCGCGUGAGUGAAGAAAAGGUUUUCGGAUCGUAAAACUCUGUUGUCAGAGAAGAACAAGUUGGAGAGUAACUGCUCCAGCCUUGACGGUAUCUGACCAGAAAGCCACGGCUAACUACGUGCCAGCAGCCGC